RNAcentral lists this ribosomal RNA (111 nucleotides) under Caerostris extrusa. Lineage: Eukaryota; Metazoa; Arthropoda; Arachnida; Araneae; Araneidae. The record is from RNAcentral.
ACGGCUAUACCAUGCUGAAUAUACCGGUUCUCGUUAGAUCACCGAAGUCAAGCAUCAUUGGGCACGGUCAGUACUUGGGUGGGUGACCACCUGGGAACACCGCGUGCCGUU